RNAcentral lists this ribosomal RNA (254 nucleotides) under uncultured bacterium. RNAcentral's name for it is "partial 16S ribosomal RNA". It matches the Rfam family "Bacterial small subunit ribosomal RNA", at positions 524 to 776 of the family's 1533-position model. The record is from RNAcentral.
UACGUAGGGUGCGAGCGUUAAUCGGAAUUACUGGGCGUAAAGCGUGCGCAGGCGGUCUGUUAAGACCGAUGUGAAAUCCCCGGGCUUAACCUGGGAACUGCAUUGGUGACUGGCAGGCUUUGAGUGUGGCAGAGGGAGGUAGAAUUCCACGUGUAGCGGUGAAAUGCGUAGAGAUGUGGAGGAACACCGAUGGCGAAGGCAGCCUCCUGGGCCAACACUGACGCUCAUGCACGAAAGCGUGGGGAGCAAACAGG